This 1558-nucleotide long non-coding RNA is filed under the name Homo sapiens (human). RNAcentral's name for it is "long intergenic non-protein coding RNA 2188". Lineage: Eukaryota; Metazoa; Chordata; Mammalia; Primates; Hominidae. The record is from RNAcentral.
ACUGCACUCCAGCCUGGGUGACAGAGCAAGACUCCAUGUCGAAAAAUAAAAAAAAAAUUAAUAAAAAACUAAAAUAGCUGUAUGACUCCUCCCCCUUUUUAUUUGGGGGAGAGAGAGUUUGAGGUGGAGAGAGGAGAGAUGGGCAGGAAGGACGGGUUCUCACCACGCUUUCUCACUGGGGAGAGAACAGAAGUUUACUUCUUACUGGGUGGAGACACUUGGCAUUUGUAAAUGAGAAUACCAAUUUGAAGGAAGAUAAGAAAAAGAACAAAACCUCCUAGCAUAAACAGAGAUUGCUGGUGAGACAGCAGCCACUGCUCCCAGGCCCGACAACAGGGGCAGCACCAAAGCUGGUCAGUGUUUCCUCCUUACAGGUCUGAAGGUGCUGCAGAGGAGGGUGCUUCCCAGAGAUCACCCCUGUGACAGACAGAUCGAUUGAAGGACCCCUGAAUGGCUGAAUUGAGAAGAACAAGCAUAUUAGGAGGCCAUACAAUGGGAGCCUCUCAGGCAGACAGACAAAGCCGUGGAAACUGCAGACUUAUUUGUAUGUUCUGGUAAACACCUUUGCUUCAUUUUCCCCGUCUCCGCCUGGACUGAGGGUCACCUCACCUCUCCUGGUGUCCAGAGCCUCCUUCAGGACAGAUGUUGCAAACCUGAGUUCUCACAAACAGCGGGGUCCAGCCCUUCUCAACACUGGAAAGCCCUUGAGCCAUCUUUGAUUUGUGUGUUUUGAUCUAAUUGCACUACUGCUUGCAAUGCUUGUUUUUAGCGGUGAGUGCUGGUUUAAUUUGUUUCUUUCUGGUCUCCCAGCCCCACUCCAGAAUUUUGGCUCCUGGAGAGGAGGGGCCCUGAACUGGCAUUUUCAGUGAAGCAUCCCAGUGCCUUGAAUCCAGUAAGCAGCCAGGUGUCUGUUGGCUUCAUGGUUUAACAACCUACCAUUUGAAGAAUCGCAGAGAUGAAUUAAAAAGAGCCCCGGAGAGGCUCCCCGAUCCAGUUGCACUUCCUGCUUAAGCAAAGUAAAGAAAAACAGGAAUGAAAACAUAACCCAAUGGGUUAGUUCCAUGCUGGCCAUUGAUGAGGUUGCAGCCACCAUCAGAAGAAGGCCAAACGGUUAGAAAGACACGGCGGUGAGGAAGAUGAGCCUCAUUAUCGACUGUCACCUGCAGCCCUGCACAGGUGCUCAGAAUCUAACACUUGAUGGCUGGUUGAGAUUCCCGGAGUCCUAAUUAGGAAUGAGGAGUCAGGCUGGCAGGACCCAGGGAAAGCAAAAAGAGAAGGCAGAGAAGCUCCAAGUCUGCCUGUCUUCGUGAUCCAGAACACGUAGUCCUGCUGCACAAGUAACUCACAAUCUUCCUGUGUCCAGCUGUCAUUAGACCCUUGGCUGAUAGAAAAAUGCAAGUUAGCACACUGCAGCCUCGGUGUCGUCAGUACUGCACGUCACUCUCUCCAGCACACCGCGGCCUCGGCGUCAUCAGCACUGCACGUCGCUCUCUCCAGCACACCGCGGCCUCGGCGUCGUCAGCACUGCACGUCGCUCUCUCCAGCACACCGCGGCCUC